Molecule: ribosomal RNA, 512 nt
Filed under: uncultured bacterium
Lineage: Bacteria
Description: partial 16S ribosomal RNA
Rfam family: Bacterial small subunit ribosomal RNA
Source: RNAcentral
GACGAACGCUGGCGGCGUGCCUAAUACAUGCAAGUCGAGCGGAACUGGGGGAGCUUGCUCCUUCCAGUUCAGCGGCGGACGGGUGAGUAACACGUGGGCAACCUGCCCUGCAGAUCGGGAUAACUCCGGGAAACCGGUGCUAAUACCGAAUAGUUUGGCGCCUCUCCUGAGGCGCUACGGAAAGACGGUUUCGGCUGUCACUGCAGGAUGGGCCCGCGGCGCAUUUGGUAGUUGGUGGGGUAACGGCCCACCAAGGCGACGGCGCGUAGCCGACCGGGGGGGGUGACCGGCCACACGGGGACUGAGAAACGGCCCAGACGCCUACGGGAGGAAGCAUUAGGGAAUCUUGCGCAAUGGACGCAAGCCUGACGGAGCAACGCGGGGUGAGUGACGAAGGUUUUCGGAUCGUAAAACUCUGUUGUGAGGGAAGAACACGUACCAACUAACUAUUGGUACCUUGACGGUACCUCACCAGAAAGCCACGGCUAACUACGUGCCAGCAGCCGCCGUAA